RNAcentral lists this transfer RNA (66 nucleotides) under Candidatus Scatosoma pullistercoris. It matches the Rfam family "tRNA". Rfam says of the family: Transfer RNA (tRNA) molecules are approximately 80 nucleotides in length. Their secondary structure includes four short double-helical elements and three loops (D, anti-codon, and T loops). Further hydrogen bonds mediate the characteristic L-shaped molecular structure. tRNAs have two regions of fundamental functional importance: the anti-codon, which is responsible for specific mRNA codon recognition, and the 3' end, to which the tRNAs corresponding amino acid is attached (by aminoacyl-tRNA synthetases). tRNAs cope with the degeneracy of the genetic code in two manners: having more than one tRNA (with a specific anti-codon) for a particular amino acid; and 'wobble' base-pairing, i.e. permitting non-standard base-pairing at the 3rd anti-codon position. RNAcentral also lists the same sequence under 2 other names. The record is from RNAcentral. Lineage: Bacteria; Bacillati; Bacillota; Clostridia.
CCUUUAGCUCAGUUGGUAGAGCAAAUGACUCUUAAUCAUUGGGCCCAGGGUUCGAGUCCCUGAAGG